GAUGAACGCUGGCGGCGUGCCUAACACAUGCAAGUCGAGCGAACAGACGAGGCUCUUGCUCCUCUGACGCUACCGGCGGACGGGUGAGUAAUACGUGGAUAACCUACAUAUAAGAAUGAGAUAACUUCGCGAAACCGGAUCUAAUACCGGAUAAUAUAUUGAACCUCAUGGAUCAUUAGAGAAAGCGGGAUUAGCUGACCCUAAUUGAUGUAACCAAGUCGCAUUAGUUAGUUCGUAAGGUAACGGCUUACCAAGGCAACGAUGCGUAGACGACCUGAGAGUGUGAUCAGCCACACUGGAACUGAGACACGGUCCAGACUCCUACGGGAGGCAGCAGUAGGGAAUAUUCCGCAAUGGGCGAAAGCUUGACGGAGCAACGCCGCGUGAGUGAUGAAGGUCUUCGGAUCGUAAAACUCUGUUAUUAGGGAAGAAGAAAAGUAUAAGUAACUAUGCACGUCUUGACGGUACCUAAUCAGAAAGCCACGGCUAACUACGUG
Molecule: ribosomal RNA, 497 nt
Filed under: uncultured bacterium
Lineage: Bacteria
Description: partial 16S ribosomal RNA
Rfam family: Bacterial small subunit ribosomal RNA
Source: RNAcentral